GGGGGUAUAGCUCAGUGGAAGAUUGCAUGCUUAGUAUACACAAGACCCUGGGUUCAAUCCCCAAUAUCCCUC
RNAcentral lists this transfer RNA (72 nucleotides) under Marmota monax (woodchuck). Its description in RNAcentral is "tRNA.Thr". Lineage: Eukaryota; Metazoa; Chordata; Mammalia; Rodentia; Sciuridae. The record is from RNAcentral.